UUCAUUCCUUUUUUUUUUUUUUUUUUUGUCUUUUUAGGGACGCGCCCGCAGCAUAUGGAGGUUCCCUGGCUAGGGGUCCAGUCGGAGCUACUGCUGCCGGGCUACACCAGAGCCACAGCAAUGUGGGAUCUGAGCCUCAUCUACGACCUGCACCACAGCUCAUGGCAACACUGGAUCCUUAACCCACUGAUCGAGGCCAGGGAUCGAACCCACGUCCCCAUGAAUGCUAGUCGGGUUUGUUAACUGCUGAGCCACGACAGGAACUCUGAACAUGUUCAUUCCUUUGAAUCUUUUCAUAUCAGUGACAGAAGCCCUUUUCAAAUAAAAGUACUCUUAAGCCUCCAUCAACUAAAACAUCAGUGGAUUUAAAUAGAGAAGUAGUGGAAAGAGCUGGGCCUACUAGUCUAGUAGGUAAUAAAGUGUAUGCUGCCAUCAUAACCCCACUGUGCCCUGGAAGUAGAAAGAAAAACAGAACAGAAGGAAAGAAGAAUGAGUGGGGAGGAAAGUCUUUGCAAAGCUAUUUUUUGAGGGGAGGGGAGAGCGAGGAGAGCUUCAUAGUUCCUGCCUCCCAAUUUUGCGAAGCUAGUUGAUUCUGACUAAAAGGAAACUAAUAAUAAUGUGAGGCUUUAAUUUGGCCUAAGUGCUCCUCUUAUGGAUUAAGGGCAGAGAGAAAUUUCUCCACAGAGAAAGGCCUGGCCCAAUGCCGGAAAUCAAUUUAAAGAUGCUCCCUUUAAAUGACUCUUUUCCAAAUGCCACCGUCCAACAAAGAAGUCUUAGAAGGAGACUCAGAAUCCUCCCGGAGGCAUUUCUCCCUUUCUUCUCUCUGAAAGGCAGUUUCAGAUCAUGUUGUUUUUCCCUAGUGUGACCACCCCACCUUCUUUCCCACAACAUGAUGAUGGGGGCAGAGUGGGGGGGGGGGUCGGGCAGUAGCGGGAGCUGCUCUAUUAAACCAGAGACUCAAGGAGAAGGCUGUCAGAAAAUUGGAGAGAGUAGCAGCUAGAGGCCAGAUGCUCCUGCCUUAUAAAUUAGUAGAAGAUUAUGCACAGCCAGCUGUACCAUAUAAAUGCCCGGUUUUUAUACCACACCAUGACCCCCUGUGUUUAUCAUAUGGUCCAGCAUCUGGUCAAUUCCAUCCCCAACUCCCAUAUAUCUAUUCAAAUCAAGCAUUGCCUGGGGACUUAUUUAUGUCUAUGCCUCAGUAUCAAACCCAAGACCAUCCUGAGGUCCUAACUUGCAGUAUGACAGAGAAUUAACCCAGCACGUUCUUUGUAUCACAGCUAGAAGUUCCCCAUUCACCUGGAGAAUCAUUUUAUUUUCACAAGAUUUAGAAAGCGAGGAGUGGCCAGAUGAGGAAUGUAUGCAUGUGUGUAGAUAAUAAAGAUUAGAUAUAGAUAUAUAAGCCUCAAAGUCUUUAUAUGCCAAGAUACAGAUUUUCUAGAAUAAGGUAAAAGUAAUGUUUUGUAUGCCUUGAAUAAUUAGGCUAAAAGGGAAAAGGACUCUCUUGCAUUUUGAAAUCUUGAGCAAAACCUGAGGUUACCAAAAUGUUUCUAAGUUUCUUUCUUUUGUAAAGACAAGUUUUCCAAGAAACAUCCAUUAAUUGAUUUCUUGGCUAUGGGUGUUUUUCUUUUGAUGUCUUUGUUCAUUUAUUUUUAAAGGGACUCAAGUUAUGUGGGCCUUUCUUUGUGGCAGAGUCCAAAGAACAUUCUGAUCUUCCUCUCAUGCCACACAUCAAAACAAAUUCCAGAUUGACCAAAGAAUUAAACAGAAAAAAUGUAAACCAAAUAUAAACUUAGAAGAAAACACCUUAACUUUUUUUUUUUUUGUCUUUUGUCUUUUUAGGGCCGCACCCGAGGCAUAUGGAGGUUCCCAGCAUAGGGGUCUAAUCGGAGCUUCAGCUGCCAGCCUACACCACAGCUCACGGCAACGCCAGAUCCUUAACCCACUGAGCGAGGCCAGGGAUCAAACCUGCAACCCCAUGGUUCCUAAUCAGAUUCAUUUCCUGCACCACGACGGGAACUCCAACAUUUUUUUUCUGUUAUCUGAAGAUAAAAGUGAUUUAGAUUAUAAAAAUACUGGAAGAAGUCAUAGCAGAAAAAAGAUUGAUAGAUUUUUUUAGUGCACAAAACUGAAUUUUCUGAAUCUUCAAACUGAGCAUAAACUGAAUUAAAAGACGAACAGCACAGUGUGAUUUUUUUUUUUUGCCACAGAUACCAAACAUAAAUAAUCUUAAACACGUGAAGUGCUCUUAGCGAUCAAGGAGGAAAACACCAAAGCACUAGACAGGAAAGAGACAUAGAUGACAGUUCUCAACGGAGGAAACACAAAUCGUCAGGAAAUUUUUUAUUGCUCAGUUCAUUAGUAAUGCGAACAUGUUAAGUUAAAAGUAGGGUUCUACAUCGAUCAGCUGGAAAAAGAAUAAGUUAGGACAGCAAGAUGGGCUGAAAGUGAUAAAUUAAGGCACUCAGCCUGGAAAGCAAAUUGGCUUCAAAGUGUCUAGCGCCUCCAACUCACUGCUUAGAUUUCUGGGUCUCUAUACGAAGGGUGAAAAUUUCAAAAUGCAGAUGAAAAUUCAGGCACAGGGAUCAUUCAUUCACUGCAGGGUAAGUUCAAUAGCAAAACAAAGAGUGGCAACCCUCUAAAUGCUCUUCAACUGCACGGAAAUGGCUCUAUUAGCACGUGUCCAUUAGGCUAGCACAUUCUCAGUAUGAUAUUCUCAUGCCCUUCGGACAAGAAUGACAUAGGAAGGGGGAAUAAAUUCACAUUUCUCUAGUCUAAUUAGCCUUUCCCAUGUGCACCCCAUCUGCAUCAAGUGUCCAGCCUGUGCGAAGCUCUCUGCCCAGUAUUGAAAGGGGUCAGAGUAUGUCACCCCCAAAUACUCCACUUUGGCAUAAAGACUUUUUCUUUCUUUCUUUCUUUCUUUCUUUCUUUCUUUCUUUCUUUCUUUCUUUCUUUCUUUUUUUUUUUGAGCUAAAGUUGAGAAUCAACACAACAGAUACGGGAAGACAUCUAUGCCCUCCCCUUACCUGCCUACAAGCAGGACAAAAAUUCCCCUUUGGGCAGGUGGCAUCCGUUCUCACCACUCUCCUGUUCCAGAAUGAGGAAAGCGACCUUUAUCACCAGAGGCAGCAGCAAAUUGAGCCUGCCUAAAUAAACUUUCCUAAAAUAACCUGUAUCGUCCACAAGUUCCCCAAUGUAUUUCCUAAUUAUUUCCCCACAACGUAGUGUCCCUUGAGGUCCAAACCUUCCUACAUUUGUUUAAAAUGUUACCUAAGCUCCCAAGACGAAUCCCUCCUUUGAAUUUCACUUCUCUGUGAACUCCUGUGCAUGUAAAAUAUUAAUAAAUGUGUAUCCCUUCUCACUUGUUAAUCUGUCUUUUGUGAGUUAAAUUCAUAGGCCCCCACACAUAGAACCUAAGAGGGCAGAGGAAAAGUAUUUCCUUCCCAAUAGUUUUUGUCACAUAGAAAUUCCUUCAUGAAUCUUUGCUGUUAUCAUGGUUCUCAUUUCGUCCUUGAAACAACUCUGUAAAUUGGCAUUGUUUUACCCAUUUCAAGAAAGAGUGAGGCCAGGCUUUCUGAGGUCAAGUGCAGGGGUAUCUAACUGAACUACUGUUUGGACAAAGAUUGGUCAGACUCUACCAACUGUGUUUUUCCCAGCACAAUUCUCCUCCUAAGACUGGAGAAUUCAACAAGACUCAUCAUAAAAUUCAAUAAUAUUCCACAUCAGAAAGUUGUUUUCAAUAGUUUGUAGGGUUGCAUUUUUUGUCCUUUGGGGUGGAUAGGGAAAUAAACUGCUAAAUAUGACUCUGAUUGGUAGGAAGAAGGAUAGUCUGAGAUCGUCAGAUUAUUCAAAAUUAAAGAGAUGUUUUAAAAGAGCUAUCAUACUAAGAGUAAUAUUUUACCUGCAAAAAAAGAGUUAAAACUAAAAAAAUUUACAUUAGAAUGAUAUGCCUUCUUUUCUUUGAUGUUAUCCAACUUAAAAGUUUUCUAAUAUCUGGAGGCAAGUAUGCCUAUAAAUUGCAAAUCUAAAAUUCUAAGCCUGAACUCCAAAGCAUGUUAUUGAGUGGAAUGCUAUAAAAGCAACCCAGCUGUUACCAUCGUUUGCUACAAACAGAGGUGUCUCAAAAUGGCUUCAAGUGACUUACAAAUAUCGGGGAUGCAAGAAAAAGAAAUUUGUUUGUUUCUACUAUUUCACGAUGUGAGAUACAUUCUCUUUAUUCGAUUUUGCUGCCUACAUUUUUUUCUUGGUUUAUUUUUGAAAGAUAGCAUCCUUUUCACUAUUUUCCAAACAUUUGUAUGUGAAGAGUUCAUAAGAGGAGGGGUUGCUGCAAAGCGUGUCUCUGCUUGGGAUAGAAAAGUUAUUUCAGACUUUAAAAUGAUUUCAAAUAUAUUUAGCUAUUAGAAGGAAAAAAACACCAUGCAAAAACAUUGCAUUCAAAGAGAGGUUUUUAAGUAAAGGGAGGUGAAUUCUUGAGUUUCCAAGAAUUCAUCUCAUUUUAACUUUUUUUAGGUACUCCAAUGCAAAUGUGUCUGUAACCAUUGCCAACUUGAAGUGACGCACCUUGAAUUGAAAGCAUAUUAUUGAACGGGACACUAUAAAUGUGAUCACAGCUGUUUCCUUACAUGCUUCAAAACGUAGGUGUCUUAACAUGGUGCGCCAAGUGGCUUUUAAAUAUUGACGAUGCAAGAAACAUUAAUUUGUUUUAUGGACCUGGGCACUGCAGGGAUUUGUCAAGGCUUCAGAUUUCACUGCUAGUAAAAGCUCUAAGUUGAGCCGCCCCUUACCACCAAUCUCUUUACCUUGGACCUCCCCCAACUCCACUUUUCCAGCACAAUAGACAGUUGAACCCCAGCAUAAUCAACCAAUUGUAUAAGACGGCUUAUCAUCAACCUAGAAUAUAGAUGAUACAAACGUCUUUCCAUAUUACGUGAGAGCAAACCUAUUUUCAUCAGACAUUUAUAAGGUCAACUCUUCUGACCUCUUUGUUCCCAAGGCAAGGGCAGAGAGGGCGGGCAGCAGGGAAGAGCAAGAGGAAAAAAUUCACCUUUCCAAGUUCAGGGUGCUUUAGAACCAGGCAUUACACAUUUGCCAUGUGGAGAGAAAGAGAGCGAGGGAGAGAGAGGAAGGAAAUGGGAGUUCUCUGUCGAGAAAAGCGUCCUAGCGAGUGUGAUAAGAGCAGUUUGGGGAAAUAAACAACAGUGGUUUGGAGUUUGUUUCACUUUGCUCAUUUGUUUCUAAGAUACUGGUUUCAAAUCACAAUGAACAUUUCAAAACUAAGUGAAACUUGACUUUAGAAACUGAGCAUAUGACCUUCAAGAUCAUCUAAAGGGAAAAAUCCUACAAUGGCUAGUGGUCACGUGGUAUUGCUAUGUGAUUUAUGCUUAGGAAUCUGUGUUUUAACAUUGAAGCGUGUCAACCACACACACAAACAUUCCCAGUGUUUCUGCUGCCCUCAUGCUAAUGGUUUCAGAGGUAUUUCCCUUCAAGUUUCUUGGAGGUCUGGUGGGGGUGGGGAAUCAGAGAAGAAGCAGCUGGCCCCAUGGGAAAGAGAGCUUGGGUGCAGCCUUGUGAGCUGGAAGAAAGAUAAGCCAGGACCCAGCUAUCUCAUCCAGGCAGCCCAGGUGGGUGAGUGCCCACAGCCACCCUCAGACAAUCUUCUUGGCCCCAAACUGCAGUCUGGUUGAAACCCAGCUUUCUGUGCCAAGGAAUUUAUUUAUACUGGAAUAUCCAGAAACCAGCCUCCUUUUGAUUUAUCCAGCGUUCUUUUCACAAUCAUCGAUUUUUUGUGGAAUAAAACUCAGGAGAAACUCAACAAUCCACCAGCCAGAAUCCUUCUUGAACUAGUAAAUUUGCAUAUUUACUAUAAAAUUUAAGGUUGAAGCUUGCACACUUCAGUGUUUCUGCCACUAGCAACGACAGAUGAUUUCUGGCUAAUUUAAAGUCAACAGGAAUUUGCUCCAAGGAUACAAAUUAGUUCCUGGAAUUGUUUGGGAGAACUGUGUUUAGGCCAAAAAUAAGGUCAGCAAAGCCCAGCAGACGUCCCGCUGAACUCUGCUCAUCCUGGGCACACCCUGCCAUGCCACCAGCCUCACGGCUGCCAUCACAAAUAAUAUUUAAGUGGCCCUAAGCCCAAGGUAGCAACUGUGGCUCAGAUCUGAUCCCUGGCCGGGGGAACUCCAUAUGCCA
This 6183-nucleotide long non-coding RNA is filed under the name Sus scrofa (pig). RNAcentral's name for it is "lncRNA (ENSSSCG00000061500.1)". Lineage: Eukaryota; Metazoa; Chordata; Mammalia; Artiodactyla; Suidae. The record is from RNAcentral.